This 409-nucleotide RNase MRP RNA is filed under the name Aspergillus ustus. RNAcentral describes it as "RNase MRP". It matches the Rfam family "RNase MRP". From Rfam's summary of the family: RNase MRP is an enzymatically active ribonucleoprotein with two distinct roles in eukaryotes. Lineage: Eukaryota; Fungi; Ascomycota; Eurotiomycetes; Eurotiales; Aspergillaceae. The record is from Rfam by way of RNAcentral.
UCCUCGCUCAAAGAAUCGCAUUCAAAGCUCACACACAGAGAACCACUUCGGUCCUCUCUCUUCACUCCCUCGGGGGUGAAGAACCUGCUUUGGGAGAAAGUCCCCGGACACCCUGGCCCUCUCUUUGUUUACAAAGAAGGGACUCUCAGGCAAUGCGGAAACGCGCCGCCAUAAAAGCAAUUUGAGAGCGGCUUACUGCCCUAUUCCCUCCCGGUUCCCGAGUUCUGUGCCCGACGCCCCUUCGUGGGGUGGACAUAAUGGUGGUGUAGCUUGGUCUCGGAGAGGGGUUUUUCAUUGGGUUGCCAUUCGUCGUGUUUGGAUAGUCAUGCGAUUGCUCGGUUUGGUUUUUUCCCUUCGCGGGGGGAAAUCUGGGCUGGGUAACUCAAUGGGGCUCAUUCUUGAGGCGAGG